RNAcentral lists this ribosomal RNA (468 nucleotides) under uncultured bacterium. RNAcentral describes it as "partial 16S ribosomal RNA". It matches the Rfam family "Bacterial small subunit ribosomal RNA", at positions 28 to 507 of the family's 1533-position model. The record is from RNAcentral.
GACGAACGCUGGCGGCGUGCUUAACACAUGCAAGUCGAACGGAAAGGCCCUGCUUUUGUGGGAUGCUCGAGUGGCGCACGGGAGAGUAACACGUGAGUAACCUGCCCUUGUCUUUGGGAUAACUUCAGGACUCUGGGGCUAAUACCGGAUAGGAGCUCCUGCUGCAUGGUGGGGGUUGGAAAGUUUCGGCGGUUGGGGAUGGACUCGCGGCUUAUCAGCUUGUUGGUGGGGUAGUGGCUUACCAAGGCAUUGACGGUUAGCCGGCCUGGGAGGGUGACCGGCAACAUGGGGACUGGGAUACGGCCCGAACUCCUACGGGAGGAAGCGGUGGGGAAUAUUGCACAAUGGGCGGAAGCCUGAUGCAGCAACGCCGCGGGCGGGAGGACGGCCUUCGGUUUGUAAACCGCUUUCGCCUGUGACGAAGCGUGAGUGACGGUAAUGGGUUAAGAAGCACCGGCUAACUACGUG